This 68-nucleotide transfer RNA is filed under the name human gut metagenome. It matches the Rfam family "tRNA". Rfam says of the family: Transfer RNA (tRNA) molecules are approximately 80 nucleotides in length. Their secondary structure includes four short double-helical elements and three loops (D, anti-codon, and T loops). The record is from RNAcentral.
AGUGUAGUCUAAAGGUUAAGACAUCGGACUUUGACUCCGGUAUUGCUGGGUUCGAAUCCCGCCACUUC